ACGCUAGCUACAGGCUUAACACAUGCAAGUCGAGGGGAAACGACAUCGAAAGCUUGCUUUUGAUGGGCGUCGACCGGCGCACGGGUGAGUAACGCGUAUCCAACCUGCCCACCACUUGGGGAUAACCUUGCGAAAGUAAGACUAAUACCCAAUGAUAUCUCUAGAAGACAUCUGAAAGAGAUUAAAGAUUUAUCGGUGAUGGAUGGGGAUGCGUCUGAUUAGCUUGUUGGCGGGGUAACGGCCCACCAAGGCGACGAUCAGUAGGGGUUCUGAGAGGAAGGUCCCCCACAUUGGAACUGAGACACGGUCCAAACUCCUACGGGAGGCAGCAGUGAGGAAUAUUGGUCAAUGGACGAGAGUCUGAACCAGCCAAGUAGCGUGCAGGAUGACGGCCCUAUGGGUUGUAAACUGCUUUUAUAAGGGAAUAAAGUGAGUCUCGUGAGACUUUUUGCAUGUACCUUAUGAAUAAGGACCGGCUAAUUCCGUGCCAGCAGCCGCGGUAAUACGGAAGGUCCGGGCGUUAUCCGGAUUUAUUGGGUUUAAAGGGAGCGUAGGCCGGAGAUUAAGCGUGUUGUGAAAUGUAGACGCUCAACGUCUGCACUGCAGCGCGAACUGGUUUCCUUGAGUACGCACAAAGUGGGCGGAAUUCGUGGUGUAGCGGUGAAAUGCUUAGAUAUCACGAAGAACUCCGAUUGCGAAGGCAGCUCACUGGAGCGCAACUGACGCUGAAGCUCGAAAGUGCGGGUAUCGAACAGGAUUAGAUACCCUGGUAGUCCGCACGGUAAACGAUGGAUGCCCGCUGUUGGUCUGAAUAGGUCAGCGGCCAAGCGAAAGCAUUAAGCAUCCCACCUGGGGAGUACGCCGGCAACGGUGAAACU
RNAcentral lists this ribosomal RNA (878 nucleotides) under uncultured bacterium. RNAcentral's name for it is "bacterial SSU rRNA". It matches the Rfam family "Bacterial small subunit ribosomal RNA", at positions 33 to 901 of the family's 1533-position model. The record is from RNAcentral.